AAAUUGAAGAGUUUGAUCAUGGCUCAGAUUGAACGCUGGCGGCAGGCCUAACACAUGCAAGUCGAACGGUAGCACAGAGAGCUUGCUCUCGGGUGACGAGUGGCGGACGGGUGAGUAAUGUCUGGGAAACUGCCUGAUGGAGGGGGAUAACUACUGGAAACGGUGGCUAAUACCGCAUAACGUCGCAAGACCAAAGAGGGGGACCUUCGGGCCUCUUGCCAUCAGAUGUGCCCAGAUGGGAUUAGCUAGUUGGUGAGGUAACGGCUCACCAAGGCGACGAUCCCUAGCUGGUCUGAGAGGAUGACCAGCCACACUGGAACUGAGACACGGUCCAGACUCCUACGGGAGGCAGCAGUGGGGAAUAUUGCACAAUGGGCGCAAGCCUGAUGCAGCCAUGCCGCGUGUAUGAAGAAGGCCUUCGGGUUGUAAAGUACUUUCAGCGGGGAGGAAGGUGUUGUGGUUAAUAACCACAGCAAUUGACGUUACCCGCAGAAGAAGCACCGGCUAACUCCGUGCCAGCAGCCGCGGUAAUACGGAGGGUGCAAGCGUUAAUCGGAAUUACUGGGCGUAAAGCGCACGCAGGCGGUCUGUCAAGUCGGAUGUGAAAUCCCCGGGCUCAACCUGGGAACUGCAUUCGAAACUGGCAGGCUUGAGUCUUGUAGAGGGGGGUAGAAUUCCAGGUGUAGCGGUGAAAUGCGUAGAGAUCUGGAGGAAUACCGGUGGCGAAGGCGACCCCCUGGACAAAGACUGACGCUCAGGUGCGAAAGCGUGGGGAGCAAACAGGAUUAGAUACCCUGGUAGUCCACGCCGUAAACGAUGUCUACUUGGAGGUUGUGCCCUUGAGGCGUGGCUUCCGGAGCUAACGCGUUAAGUAGACCGCCUGGGGAGUACGGCCGCAAGGUUAAAACUCAAAUGAAUUGACGGGGGCCCGCACAAGCGGUGGAGCAUGUGGUUUAAUUCGAUGCAACGCGAAGAACCUUACCUGGUCUUGACAUCCACAGAACUUUCCAGAGAUGGAUUGGUGCCUUCGGGAACUGUGAGACAGGUGCUGCAUGGCUGUCGUCAGCUCGUGUUGUGAAAUGUUGGGUUAAGUCCCGCAACGAGCGCAACCCUUAUCCUUUGUUGCC
Molecule: ribosomal RNA, 1127 nt
Filed under: Salmonella enterica
Lineage: Bacteria; Pseudomonadati; Pseudomonadota; Gammaproteobacteria; Enterobacterales; Enterobacteriaceae
Also listed under: 1 other name
Description: bacterial SSU rRNA
Rfam family: Bacterial small subunit ribosomal RNA
Source: RNAcentral